Molecule: non-coding RNA, 2120 nt
Organism: Megalopta genalis
Lineage: Eukaryota; Metazoa; Arthropoda; Insecta; Hymenoptera; Halictidae
Source: RefSeq, a predicted model, not a curated record
GUAUCUCCUCUUCCCAAAUUGUCCAUUCUUGUGCGCAAUCUCCGCGCGAAUUAGAAAGAAAUUACUGUACCAUCGUCGAGAUCGGAGUUGGAAUAUUGAACAGCUUGUUUCUUCCAAUUAAAUCCGGAAGGAUCGCCCGGUCGAACUAGGCGGAUCGUUCGAAGGGUCGGCAAAUCAUUGACGCUGAACGUGUUGCAGGUUCAGCGAACGGCGAGGACGCGAAGGAACAAUUCCGCUCAAGGAGGCCGCGGUGAACGGAAUGGCUUAACAGCGGAGCAAUUAAUUAAUCGAGCAGCACGAUCCAGCGGCGAUGGACUCUAGCUUCCGGCACCGGGGCAUUCAGGCAAUCUACCGGCGCGGUACUCGACGAGUUUCGCGUGAUACAGGUAAACGCGCGCGCGCACAGCUAAAGAGACGAAGAAGACAAAGGGCCAGCGGUUCCUGAACGUGUCCCUUUGUGGCGGCCGCGGGUGGCCGGGUAGACCGGGCAAGCCUCGUGGCUAAAUAAAACAUUCACGUGGGAAGAGUGUUUCUCGAAGAUCAAGAAGAUCCGUUCGCGCGAUGGCUUCCGGCAGAUCAAAGGUGGAGAGGGGCUGUCUUCUGUGCUUUCGAGAACAAGAAAACCGGGGACCAGAGGAAACCGAAAGGAGAUUGAAAAGUCGUGGAGCGAAGAGGAGAUUCUCAAGCAGGUCCAAAGGGCCUUUGAGGCUCGAGAAGAGUCCAGGAGCCGCUGGGAUUCGCGUGCCGUCGUCCCGAUUCCACUUCGACGAAUCGAAGUGUUAGCGUUAAUUGGCGCGCUUCCGUCGGGCGAACGAGUCCGGGGAAAAAAAGGAGAAUCCCGAGCCAGGGCCGGCGAGGAGGCUAUAGUUAAACAUCGAAACGUCGAUCCCGGAGUGCUCGUCGACGGGACGGGACGAGCAGGAAAUUAGGUGACCAAGCGUGCGAGAUCCAAAAGGUCGGUUCGAUGCGCGGCGACGUGCUCCCGGGGCGGAGAACGCGGCCUGGGUCACCGGGAAAACAAGUGUGCACCUUCGACGUGCUAUAAAUUCGCCGCUGCUUCGAUCUAGGUCUUACAUGUGACGCGACACGUUCGUGUUCCUACGCUCUGCACGGGGAUAUUUAUUAACUCGAGCCCGGACUCCGUCUUUCUUGCCCCCGUGGUCACUUCCACCACGUGCAAAGAAUAAUGGCAGGAACGCGCUCCGCAACAUGUAGCGGCCGCGACUGUUGCUUUACGACGUCGAAUUUUUAAUCGAUGGCUGCAUACGCGAGCAGCUUAAACAAGAAACAGACCUGUGUUUGCUUUCCAUUUAUAGAAACGACUCUGAAGGAAAGCUAGCUUGUUCGGAGACUUUUAAGUUCACCUAGCCAGUCGAAGAAUUUUAAUUUACCUCGGCCAGUCGAAGAAUUUUAACAAAACUCAGCUGCUUGGCAAAUUUUAAUCGAAUUCAAAUAAUUAAAGAAUUCUAACUGAACUUUACUGCUCAGGGAAUGUUAAUCUAACGCGUUGAAGCGUUCCAACACCAACUUCUGGCUAUUCAAAAAAUUUUUACUCAAUUCGACUCGUAGAAGAAAUCUGACCGAACUCGACCGCUCAAAGAAUCUGAACUUAACUCAACUGAAGAAUUCUAACUCGACCAGUCGAAGCGUUCCAACAGCAACUUGGCUGCUCAAAGAAUUUUUACUCAAUUCGACUGGUAAAAGAAAUCUGACCGAACUCGACCGCUCAAAGAAUCUGAAUUUAAUUAAACCAGCUGAAGAAUUCUAACUUGACUCGACCACCCGACGUAUUCGAACUCAACCGAACCACUGUUUCAUUUUAGUAAUUUCAUUUCAGAUAGAACUGCCACGAAAGACAACCGGUCCGGAAACUCGCGAGGAGCGCAUUCGCUGGGACACAGUGCCACCUAUACGCGAACGGAUAACACGAUAAUUACCAUUGAACACGUAACUACGAUUACACUACUUGCGAAGAAGUUGCAUCGAUGGAAUCGCGAACAUCAGCGUUCGAGGGAUGCGGAAUCUGCGGUCCAAGAAGAGACACCGAUUGCGAAGAGAAUAAUGUCUCUCUAAUUGACGCGCAGAUUGACCGGAAAAAUGGACAAUUUGGGAAGAGGAGC